This 546-nucleotide antisense RNA is filed under the name Atlantibacter sp. RC6. RNAcentral's name for it is "antisense RNA of rseC mRNA". It matches the Rfam family "antisense RNA of rseC mRNA", at positions 377 to 877 of the family's 886-position model. The record is from RNAcentral. Lineage: Bacteria; Pseudomonadati; Pseudomonadota; Gammaproteobacteria; Enterobacterales; Enterobacteriaceae.
CCGUGAUUAAAUUAAAUUCAAACCAGACAAUACCCGUCAGGCAUUGUCUGCUGAAGAAGUGGUAUCAACCCGCAGGGCGUCUGGCGGUAAUCCGAUACUUAAAAUAACCGGCUGCCAGCUUUGACGACGGCUAAAGGCCGGAGAUAAACCUUUCGCCAACAGGAACCCGCCCACACCGCCUAAAAGAGCGCCCGCCAUGGCUGCCAGAUCGGUGUGAAACAGCAUCUGGAAAAGACCUGCGACAAUAAAUAAGCCUACCAGGGGAGACAUAUAAACUAAUAGCGCAGAGCCCAACAAACUGCCUUCUGCAAUGCCAAGCUCAACUUUUUGCCCUGCAACCAGAGGAUGAUCGCAGGGUACAGUAAUUGAAUGGCUGGUCCGGGGGCCGAGUUUAUUCAGGAUGCGGCUGCCGCAACCGGCACGGGAUGCACAGCUGCUGCACGACGCUUUAACAUCACAACUGACCACCGCUUCGCCGUUCUGCCACGAGACUACCGUGGCCCAUUCUUUCAUCAUUGCGUAGAAGCCCUAAAUUUUACGCUGUCG